Long non-coding RNA from Miniopterus natalensis, 1247 nucleotides. RefSeq lists it as uncharacterized. NCBI's taxonomy places the organism in Eukaryota, Metazoa, Chordata, Mammalia, Chiroptera, Miniopteridae. The record is from RefSeq and is a predicted model, not a curated record.
GGGACAAAGCUUAACGGGACACACACUUUUCACUGUUUGCCCUCUUGCUCCUUUUAAGUUUUGUAACGUGCAUGUAUUAGAAUUAUUCAAACAAUGGUAAAGUAAUCUAAAGAAAAAGGUGGGAGGCCCUCCAGUGAGACACCCGAGUAUCAUCUCUCCCACAGGGAGAGUGUCAUUCACUCUGACGCGUGUGUAUUUUGGAAACUGAAAGUAGAUUUCUGACAGAUGGGUGGUGGUGCCUAGAAGCAGCGGGCUCCACCCUCUUCAUGUGUUAACAGGCCAGGAGGAGAAGCGCCUUGUCAAGGAUGCGCCUUCCCAGCGGACGGAUGCUGUGCAGGAUGCUGCAGUCAGCUUCCUGCCACACACAGGAGUCUGACCUGUGUGACCCUCAGACACUGCGGCUGGACAAGAGGAAGCAGGCGAGUCCCCGCCAGCCCGCCGCCGGUGCCGGUCGCCUGCAGCCACUGAGCGGGCCGCCGGUUGCUUCCUUAAGGACCUCACGGCCAUUCCCUCCCGCUUGCUCCCAACCGCCUUGCAGGACAAACCAAACUCCAAGCUUGAUGACUGUCUAUGUUAUGCCACGUAUUAUUUUGGAUGAUGUUUAUUCUGAACUCUAAGGAUGCUCAUACACAAGAGAACAAUGUAAAAUGUGGAGAUAGCUGUUUACUUACAGGUAUGGAAAAAUUAAAACAAAGAAUUGAGAGCAACAAAAGCUGAAAACACGGUGGCCCAGGGGUGGGAUUAGAGUGUUUAACGCCCUAGACCGCAAGACUGGCAGGUGUCGCCCACAAUGUUGAUAGGGUUGCUCUUUCCCCUCCACCUGUAAAUUCUCUCUCAAAUGUCCUAUAAUUGUUUCACUAAUGUACUGUGGAGGGCAGAGGGGAAGACUCCUUUUUUCCAUGAGGUCAUUUUUAAUUUUAGGUACUCUGUUUUAAGAAAAAAAUUCUAAUAGUCAUCCAACAACCUUUUGGCAUACAGAUGCUCAUUUUACCACCAUGUAUAAUAAGAAACUGGAAAUGACCUAAGUUCCAUAUAGUUCCCAUCAACCUGCGGAGGCGAGAGCUCGUGACCCAGUCCUGACCUGUCAGAGCGGGUCUGUAGGGUUUGCCAGGUGGGAAGGGGGCACAUCUUGAGACAUGCAGAGGCCAGGUGACAUUUUUAUCGUCUGGCUCCUGACACACCUGAAGCCCACCCACUUGUACCCCUAAAGUUUUUAAGUACGUGAGACAAUAAAUCCCUCUUUCUGU